RNAcentral lists this ribosomal RNA (305 nucleotides) under uncultured bacterium. RNAcentral describes it as "bacterial SSU rRNA". It matches the Rfam family "Bacterial small subunit ribosomal RNA", at positions 338 to 641 of the family's 1533-position model. The record is from RNAcentral.
CCUACGGGACGCAGCAGUGAGGAAUAUUGGUCAAUGGCCGGAAGGCUGAACCAGCCAAGCCGCGUGAGGGAGGAAGGCGCAGAGCGUCGCAGACCUCUUUUGCCGGGGGACAAAAGGCCGGACUCGUCCGGUCCUGAGGGUACCCGGAGAAAAAGCAUCGGCUAACUCCGUGCCAGCAGCCGCGGUAAUACGGAGGAUGCGAGCGUUAUCCGGAUUUAUUGGGUUUAAAGGGUGCGUAGGCGGGACGGUAAGUCAGCGGUAAAAAUGCGGAGCUCAACUCCGUCGAGCCGUUGAAACUGCCGUUU